AGGAUUAACGCUGGCGGAGUGCCUAACACAUGCAAGUCGAGCGGCAGCGCGAGUAGUUUACUACUUGGCGGCGAGCGGCGGACGGCUGAGUAACGCGUGGGAACGUGCCCCAAAGUGAGGAAUAACUGCCCGAAAGGGUAGCUAAUGCCGCAUAUGAUCUUCGGAUUAAAGGAUUUAUCCGCUUUGGGAGCGGCCCGCGUCAGAUUAGGUAGUUGGUGAGGUAAAGGCUCACCAAGCCGACGAUCUGUAGCUGGUCUGAGAGGAUGACCAGCCAGACUGGAACUGAGACACGGUCCAGACUCCUACGGGAGGCAGCAGUGAGGAAUCUUCCACAAUGGGGGAAACCCUGAUGGAGCAACUCCGCGUGCAGGAUGAAGGCCUUCGGGUCGUAAACUGCUUUUAUGAGUGAAGAAUAUGACGUAACUCAUGAAUAAGGGUCGCUAACUACGUGCCAGCAGCCG
Molecule: ribosomal RNA, 461 nt
Filed under: uncultured soil bacterium
Lineage: Bacteria
Description: bacterial SSU rRNA
Rfam family: Bacterial small subunit ribosomal RNA
Source: RNAcentral